GCGCCCGUAGCUCAGUCGGAUAGAGCACCUGCCUUCUAAGCAGGGGGUCACAGGUUCGAAUCCUGUCGGGCGCGCCA
This 77-nucleotide transfer RNA is filed under the name Hyphomicrobium sp. RNAcentral describes it as "tRNA-Arg". It matches the Rfam family "tRNA". Rfam says of the family: Transfer RNA (tRNA) molecules are approximately 80 nucleotides in length. Their secondary structure includes four short double-helical elements and three loops (D, anti-codon, and T loops). Further hydrogen bonds mediate the characteristic L-shaped molecular structure. tRNAs have two regions of fundamental functional importance: the anti-codon, which is responsible for specific mRNA codon recognition, and the 3' end, to which the tRNAs corresponding amino acid is attached (by aminoacyl-tRNA synthetases). tRNAs cope with the degeneracy of the genetic code in two manners: having more than one tRNA (with a specific anti-codon) for a particular amino acid; and 'wobble' base-pairing, i.e. permitting non-standard base-pairing at the 3rd anti-codon position. RNAcentral also lists the same sequence under 2 other names. The record is from RNAcentral. Lineage: Bacteria; Pseudomonadati; Pseudomonadota; Alphaproteobacteria; Hyphomicrobiales; Hyphomicrobiaceae.